AUCAGGGAGUUGGAGAACUGAGGUAUAAGCCAUUUUUACCUUGAAAGAGUUCAAAACCAUGUUUCCCUGAAGUGACUUUUCCUAAAGUGAAGAUCAAAUUACAGACUGGUCCUCACCUAAUGCUCUUCUUCCUCUGCUGAUCCCCUGUGCCACCAAGAAAGCACAAAUCUUCGGGUCACAAAGAGACUAUGUGCAUAACGAAGUGGCUCUACAAGCUGGUGGACUCCAGGCUACACUCCUACAAGUGGUCAGAUCUGACCAAAGAGAGUUGGAGAGCUAAGCUGAUAGUCAUCUCUGAGGCUUCUUGUGGGGCUUAAUUGCUUCCAGGAUCAGUCACUCACAGAGCACACCACUGCGCAAUGGAACAGUCUCCAGUAGGUACAAGGUAGGUACGAGAGUCAUUGGCUCUGAGCUAGUGUUGGACACACAAAUGACUUCAGUACAGUGGCUCUUCACCACCCUAACGGAGAUGUUUUGCCUUCAGAUCCACACUAAUAUCUUUGCACUACACUGCGGAAGACAGGCACGUGGACAGGCUUUGGCAUAGAUUAACACAAGCUUUGGCGUCUCUGUAUCAUAUUCUCCUGAAGGUUCAUCUUCAUGAGGAAGUUGCUCAAAAUACCUACCUCCCAGAGCUAUUCUAUGCUGCUGAGGUAACCCUCUGAGCAUGGGCACUUCCAGUGUUAUACAG
Molecule: long non-coding RNA, 691 nt
Filed under: Anser brachyrhynchus (Pink-footed goose)
Lineage: Eukaryota; Metazoa; Chordata; Aves; Anseriformes; Anatidae
Description: lncRNA (ENSABRG00000019801.1)
Source: RNAcentral